RNAcentral lists this ribosomal RNA (253 nucleotides) under uncultured bacterium. RNAcentral describes it as "partial 16S ribosomal RNA". It matches the Rfam family "Bacterial small subunit ribosomal RNA", at positions 524 to 776 of the family's 1533-position model. The record is from RNAcentral.
UACGGAGGGAGCUAGCGUUGUUCGGAUAUACUGGGCGUAAAGCGCACGUAGGCGGCGCCGUAAGUCAGGGGUGAAAUCCCGGAGCUCAACUCCGGAACUGCCCUUGAAACUGCAGUGCUAGAAUCUUGGAGAGGCGGGUGGAAUUCCGAGUGUAGAGGUGAAAUCCGUAGAUAUUAGGAGGAACACCGAUGGCGUAGGCAGAUAACUGGCUCGUUCCUGACACUAAGGCACGAAAGCCAGGGGAGCAAACGGG